CCUGGGGACACGCCGCCAGCAUGGGGCAGGAAGAGGAGCUGCUGAGAAUCGCCAAGAAACUGGAUAAAAUGGUGUCCAGGAAGAACACGGAAGGAGCCCUGGAUCUCCUGAAGAAACUGAGUGGCUACAAGAUGUCAAUCCAGUUACUGCAGACCACCAGGAUUGGGAUUGCCGUCAACGGGGUCCGUAAGCACUGCGUGGAUAAGGAGGUGGUGGCGUUGGCCAAAGUUCUCAUCAAGAACUGGAAACGGCUCCUAGAUGCCCCUGAGACCCCCAAAAAGGAGAAAUCAAUGGAAAGAGAAAAAGAGAAGAAGAAAGAGCAAGAUGUUGACCUUUCUGACUGGAAACCACUGGGGGCUUUUUCCCCACAGAGCAAAAGCCCAAGGGAAGACCCCAAGGACAGGAGAGACUCUUCUGAGUCUGGGUCUUCCUCCACCGUCUCCUCCCCGUCUUUCUCUUCCUCUUCCUCAUCUCCUCAGAAGAGGCCAGUGGAAAGAUCUAACAGCAGCAAAGGGAAAGUGGAGACCCCAAAAACACCCACCAGCCCCUCUUCGCCUACAUUUUCUCCAUCCGUCUGUUUUUUGGCCCCCUGCUACCUCACAGGAGACUCAGUCCGGGACAAGUGCGUUGAGAUGCUGUCAGCAGCCCUGAAGAUGGAUGGUGAUUACAAAGAAUAUGGGGUCAACUGUGAUAAGAUGGCAUCAGAAAUUGAAGAUCAUAUAUAUCAAGAACUGAAGGGCACAGACAUGAAAUACCGGAAUAGGGUACGCAGCCGAAUCAGUAAUCUCAAGGAUCCCAGGAACCCCAGCUUGAGGCGGAAUGUGCUUUGUGGGGCUAUUUCCACCAGCCUCAUUGCCAAGAUGACGGCUGAGGAAAUGGCGAGUGACGAGCUGAAGGAGCUGAGGAAUGCCAUGACUCUGGAGGCCAUCCGGGAGCACCAGAUGGCCAAGACCGGGGGCACAACGACUGACCUCUUCCAGUGCAAUAAGUGUAAAAAGAAGAAUUGUACCUACAACCAGACAAGGAAACUGAGCCUCAUAGAGGUUAAGUGAUUUGCCUAAGGCCACACAGUAAGUAAGUUGCAGAGCCAAGACUCGAACCCAGAUCUUCAAGUCCAGUGAAGGAUGUAAAACCCAGAAUUGGUGGAAAGGAAGGGAGAGAGCAUUCCAGGUGCAGACACGAAGCGCUGAUGAGCCCAUGACCACUUUCGUCUUAUGCAAUGAGUGUGGCAACCGCUGGAAGUUCUGCUGAGCAGUUGCUGGCCGGGCCCGUGGUAGAUGCAUCAAAGAAACACGAAGAAGAAACCACGUGGUCCACCUGCCUGGAGCAUAGAGAGGAAUGCUCAGACGAGAAGGGGAGUUUGGGUGCUGCCAGCUGAACACAGGACUCUUCCCAGAAGACGUGGCCAGCUUUGACCUCUGGCCUCAAAGCUUUCCCGAGUGGGAGAGAGGGGGCACUUGUACUGGGAAGGUCCAAAUCAGAUGAGCUCUGACCUGUGGUUGUAUCUCCCCAAAUCCUGCAGUAAAGGGGAAAUAUGGACUUA
Phascolarctos cinereus (koala) is the source of this 1543-nucleotide non-coding RNA. The record is from RefSeq and is a predicted model, not a curated record. NCBI's taxonomy places the organism in Eukaryota, Metazoa, Chordata, Mammalia, Diprotodontia, Phascolarctidae.